CAGCAGCCGCGGUAAAACGAAGGGUGCAAGCGUUACUCGGAAUUACUGGGCGUAAAGCGUGCGUAGGUGGUGGUUUAAGUCCGUUGUGAAAGCCCUGGGCUCAACCUGGGAAUUGCAGUGGAUACUGGGUCACUAGAGUGUGGUAGAGGAUAGUGGAAUUUCCGGUGUAGCAGUGAAAUGCGUAGAGAUCGGAAGGAACAUCUGUGGCGAAGGCGACUAUCUGGGCCAACACUGACACUGAGGCACGAAAGCGUGGGGAGCAAACAGGAUUAGAUACCCGAGUAGUCCCUGUCUCUUAUAC
RNAcentral lists this ribosomal RNA (301 nucleotides) under uncultured bacterium. RNAcentral describes it as "partial 16S ribosomal RNA". It matches the Rfam family "Bacterial small subunit ribosomal RNA", at positions 509 to 807 of the family's 1533-position model. The record is from RNAcentral.